AAGGGUGAAAGGGUGCGGUAAGAGCGCACCGGGCCGCUGGCAACAGGGGCCGCACGGCAAACCCCACCCGGAGCAAGGCCAAAUAGGGGACAAGGGGUCGCCUGCCCCGCAUGAGUCCCGGGUAGGCCGCUAGAGGUUCGGAGCGAUCCGAAUCCCAGACAAAUGAUUCCGGCCCGCGUUGUCGCGGGACACAGAACUCGGCUUAUGACGCCCGUCCUCCU
RNAcentral lists this RNase P RNA (221 nucleotides) under Gemmatimonadota bacterium. RNAcentral's name for it is "partial RNase P RNA component class A". It matches the Rfam family "Bacterial RNase P class A", at positions 150 to 367 of the family's 367-position model. Rfam says of the family: Ribonuclease P (RNase P) is a ubiquitous endoribonuclease, found in archaea, bacteria and eukarya as well as chloroplasts and mitochondria. Its best characterised activity is the generation of mature 5'-ends of tRNAs by cleaving the 5'-leader elements of precursor-tRNAs. The record is from RNAcentral. Lineage: Bacteria; Pseudomonadati; Gemmatimonadota.